This 292-nucleotide ribosomal RNA is filed under the name uncultured bacterium. Its description in RNAcentral is "partial 16S ribosomal RNA". The record is from RNAcentral.
GGACUACACGGGUAUCUAAUCCUGUUUGCUCCCCUUGCUCUCGCGCCUCAGCGUCAGGUAUAAACUAGAAAGCCGCCUUCGCCACCGGUGUUCCUCCACAUAUCUACGCAUUUCACCGCUACAUGUGGAAUUCCGCUUUCUCCGUCAAACCUCUAGAAAAACAGUUUCAAAUGCAGCACCAAAGUUGAGCUUUGGUAUUUCACAUCUGACUUAUUCAUCCGCCUACGCGCCCUUUACGCCCAAUAAUUCCGAUUAAUGCUUGCACCCUACGUAUUACCGCGGCUGCUGGCAC